UGGGGAAUAUUGGUCAAUGGGGCGAAAGCCUGAACCAGCAACGCCGCGUGAAGGAAGAAGGCCUUCGGGUUGUAAACUUUUGUCUUCAGGGACGAAUUUUGACGGUACCUGAGGAGGAAGCCACGGCUAACUACGUGCCAGCAGCCGCGGUAAUACGUAGGUGGCAAGCGUUGUCCGGAAUUACUGGGUGUAAAGGGUGCGUAGGCGGGCUGUAAAGUCAGAUGUGAAACUCCGGGGCUCAACUCCGGAACUGCAUUUGAAACUUACGGUCUUGAGUGAAGUAGAGGUAAGCGGAAUUCCCAGUGUAGCGGUGAAAUGCGUAGAUAUUGGGAGGAACACCAGUGGCGAAGGCGGCUUACUGGGCUUUAACUGACGCUGAGGCACGAAAGCAUGGGGAGCAAACAGGAUUAGAUACCCUGGUAGU
RNAcentral lists this ribosomal RNA (424 nucleotides) under uncultured Clostridium sp. Its description in RNAcentral is "bacterial SSU rRNA". It matches the Rfam family "Bacterial small subunit ribosomal RNA", at positions 355 to 794 of the family's 1533-position model. The record is from RNAcentral. Lineage: Bacteria; Bacillati; Bacillota; Clostridia; Eubacteriales; Clostridiaceae.